Molecule: ribosomal RNA, 525 nt
Filed under: uncultured bacterium
Lineage: Bacteria
Description: bacterial SSU rRNA
Rfam family: Bacterial small subunit ribosomal RNA
Source: RNAcentral
ACUGAAUAGAUACCCUGGUAGUCCACGCCGUAAACGAUGGAUGCUAGCUGUUAUCAGUAUCGACCCUGGUAGUAGCGAAGCUAACGCGUUAAGCAUCCCGCCUGUGGAGUACGAGCGCAAGCUUAAAACAUAAAGGAAUUGACGGGGACCCGCACAAGCGGUGGAGCGUGUUGUUUAAUUCGAUGGUAAGCGAAGAACCUUACCCAGGCUUGACAUCCUGCCAAAUUUGCCGAAAGGCGAAUGUGCCUUCGGGCCGCAGUGACAGGUGAUGCAUGGCCGUCGUCAGCUCGUGUCGUGAGAUGUUUGGUUAAGUCCAUCAACGAGCGCAACCCUUAUAGUUAGUUGUAUUUUCUAGCUAGACUGCCCUGGUAACAGGGAGGAAGGAGGGGAUGAUGUCAGGUCAGUAUUUCCCUUACGUCUGGGGCUACAAACACGCUACAAUGGCCAGUACAAAGGGCAGCCAAGUCGCAAGACGGAGCAAAUCCCAUCAAAGCUGGUCUCAGUUCGGAUAGCAGGCUGAAACUC